Molecule: ribosomal RNA, 245 nt
Filed under: uncultured microorganism
Description: partial 16S ribosomal RNA
Rfam family: Bacterial small subunit ribosomal RNA
Source: RNAcentral
GAGUUUGAUCGUGGCUCAGGAUGAACGCUGGCGGCGUGCCUAAUACAUGCAAGUCGUACGAACAGCGGAAAGUGCUUGCACUUUCCAAGUAAGUGGCGAACGGGUGAGUAACACGUGAAUAACCUACCUCAAAGUCUGGGAUAACCAUUGGAAACAGUGACUAAUACCGGAUAAAACCUAGUAGCACAUGCUACAAGGUUAAAAGCUGCGUUUGCAGCGCUUUAAGAUGGAUUCGCGGUGCAUUA